RNAcentral lists this long non-coding RNA (1515 nucleotides) under Salmo salar (Atlantic salmon). Its description in RNAcentral is "lncRNA (ENSSSAG00000100461.1)". Lineage: Eukaryota; Metazoa; Chordata; Actinopteri; Salmoniformes; Salmonidae. The record is from RNAcentral.
GGCUGCUCAUAGUGAACCAUAAAGUCCAGCAUUCAUAGCAAAUGCAGAUACCGCUCCGUUAGGUAGAUGGGGCAUGCCCACAAACUUGGUUGAUGGCGUUGUUUACUUCGAACAACCAACACAUAGUACUCUCAGAACUUCUCUUCUUUUAUGUUUGUUUUUCAAUAACGUUUGUCAUCAUGUUCUGUCUGGCUGUGCUAAUUACAAACAAGCAUGAAAGUUAUCUGGAGUCCACCCUGCUGAAAAAAAUACAAAGCGGCGGCAUUUUGUGUACACACGCAUGAGGGAGCGGACACACCUUGCGGUUAUGGAGCACAACAAGAUUGUGGGACAGAAACAUGCAAAGGACACUGAAAACUAUCAAAUCAAGACCACAACAGUAAUGACACAACCACCUCAUUCUUCUCUCUGCAGAUUCUCAAAACACAAUACAAAGACACAUCUACAAAAAUCCCCUGCCAAGGGCUACUAUUGACACAAAUUAUUUGUCAAAGUCAAUGGACUGGGGGAAGUUUACAGACAGGUCUUUGAGAUUAGGAAGGGUGUUUCAGUUGUGCUUAGAGACAGUAAAUGUAUUGUUGUUUAUGAGAACAAUUAAAAGGUGGCAUUUCUCCUCAAUCUCCCAUACACAUAUAUAUACUGUGUAAGAACUGUCCUCCUAAAACUUGUCACACCUUCUGCAGCUCCCCCAGCCCAUUCACUUUGUUGACUGAUCUUUCCUCUCAAAAGCAGCUCCCAAUGUCCCUCAUUGUCCCUAAACAAUUAAGUAAUCCAACAGUGUACGCUGCCAUCUUAUCUAUUUCAAAACAGGUGGGUGUCCACCCCAAAGUGUUGCAUAUCAUGAUGACAGACACCUGUCUUGGAUUACUUCAUGGAGCAAAAAAAGUAUUUAUUUUAAUAACUGAGCAUUUUCUAAAUUCAAACUGAUCCCUUGCAACUGGACACAGACAUUUUAUGAGACUGCUGUUUUCACGAAUCGACAACGAAGACUAAGAGAAGUGGUGAUCAGCAGAUGAUGGGAGAGGUGGUCAUGAUGAAAUUGCCAUUACAAAGGAACAUACAGUAAGUUCAGGGAACACUUAUACAGCUGUGGGAGGAGUGUUGUCAUGAUCAAACUGCCAUCAAACAGCUCCUCUUGAGUCAUCUUCUUGAAAUCCAGCAUAAUGUCCAAUCCAUCGAGAAGGAUACAGUUCACGGGAUACAGUUCUGCUACAAUGACACACGCAUGCAAAGAAAAUCUGUUUCUGUCCAAGAAUCCACUCCAGGAAGAAGCCCAGCCACCACACUGUAUUAUCUGCAAGACAAAAGAAUAUAUAAUAAAUUAUACUCCAUUGCACAGUUUGAACGACAGUUGAACUGUGCAGCAUAACAUUAGGGUAGACAAGUUGAACAUGCAUACAUGUGGACAGGCACAGAGAUUACAUUUACAACAAUAUCUAGCCUAAUAGAAAUAAAUAUGGCAUAACCCUCAACCUUUGCACAGUGACCAUUCAGGAAUUGUGUACAGAUCCUUGC